UACGGAGGGUGCUAGCGUUAAUCGGAAUUACUGGGCGUAAAGCGCGCGUAGGCGGUUUGAUAAUCCAGAUGUGAAAGCCCCGGGCUUAACCUGGGAACUGCAUUUCGAACUGUCAGGCUCGAGUGUGGGAGAGGGUAGUGGAAUUUCCUGUGUAGCGGUGAAAUGCGUAGAUAUAGGAAGGAACACCAGUGGCGAAGGCGGCUACCUGGACCAACACUGACACUGAGGUGCGAAAGCGUGGGGAGCAAACUCG
This 253-nucleotide unclassified non-coding RNA is filed under the name uncultured Alteromonadales bacterium. Its description in RNAcentral is "contains 16S-23S intergenic spacer region". It matches the Rfam family "Bacterial small subunit ribosomal RNA", at positions 524 to 776 of the family's 1533-position model. The record is from RNAcentral. Lineage: Bacteria; Pseudomonadati; Pseudomonadota; Gammaproteobacteria; Alteromonadales.